RNAcentral lists this ribosomal RNA (635 nucleotides) under Bacillus cereus. Its description in RNAcentral is "bacterial SSU rRNA". It matches the Rfam family "Bacterial small subunit ribosomal RNA", at positions 146 to 770 of the family's 1533-position model. Lineage: Bacteria; Bacillati; Bacillota; Bacilli; Caryophanales; Bacillaceae. The record is from RNAcentral.
AAUCCGGGAAACCGGGGCUAAUACCGGAUAACAUUUUGAACCGCAUGGUUCGAAAUUGAAAGGCGGCUUCGGCUGUCACUUAUGGAUGGACCCGCGUCGCAUUAGUAGUUGGUGAGGUAACGGCUCACCAAGGCAACGAUGCGUAGCCGACCUGAGAGGGUGAUCGGCCACACUGGGACUGAGACACGGCCCAGACUCCUACGGGAGGCAAGUAGGGAAUCUUCCGCAAUGGACGAAAGUCUGACGGAGCAACGCCGCGUGAGUGAUGAAGGCUUUCGGGUCGUAAAACUCUGUUGUUAGGGAAGAACAAGUGCUAGUUGAAUAAGCUGGCACCUUGACGGUACCUAACCAGAAAGCCACGGCUAACUACGUGCCAGCAGCCGCGGUAAUACGUAGGUGGCAAGCGUUAUCCGGAAUUAUUGGGCGUAAAGCGCGCGCAGGUGGUUUCUUAAGUCUGAUGUGAAAGCCCACGGCUCAACCGUGGAGGGUCAUUGGAAACUGGGAGACUUAGUGCAGAAGAGGAAAGUGGAAUUCCAUGUGUAGCGGUGAAAUGCGUAGAGAUAUGGAGGAACACCAGUGGCGAAGGCGACUUUCUGGUCUGUAACUGACACUGAGGCGCGAAAGCGUGGGGAGCA